UACGUAGGGUGCAAGCGUUAAUCGGAAUUACUGGGCGUAAAGCGUGCGCAGGCGGUUUUGUAAGACCGGGGUGAAAUCCCCGGGCUUAACCUGGGAAUUGCAUUUGUGACUGCAUGGCUAGAGUGUGUCAGAGGGGGGUAGAAUUCCACGUGUAGCAGUGAAAUGCGUAGAUAUGUGGAGGAAUACCGAUGGCGAAGGCAGCCCCCUGGGAUAACACUGACGCUCAUGCACGAAAGCGUGGGGAGCAAACAGG
Molecule: ribosomal RNA, 253 nt
Filed under: uncultured bacterium
Lineage: Bacteria
Description: partial 16S ribosomal RNA
Rfam family: Bacterial small subunit ribosomal RNA
Source: RNAcentral